AAGACCUUGCGCUUUUGGAGCGGCCGAUGCCUGAUUAGCUUGUUGGUAAGGUAAAAGCUUACCAAGGCUUCGAUCAGUAGCUGGUCUGAGAGGACGACCAGCCGCACUGGGACUGAGACACGGCCCAGACUCCUACGGGAGGCAGCAGUGGGGAAUUUUGGACAAUGGGGGCAACCCUGAUCCAGCCAUGCCGCGUGAGUGAAGAAGGCCUUCGGGUUGUAAAGCUCUUUCAGCCGGAACGAAACGGUUACGGUUAACACCCGUGACUACUGACGGUACCGGAAGAAGAAGCACCGGCUAACUACGUGCCAGCAGCCGCGGUAAUACGUAGGGUGCGAGCGUUAAUCGGAAUUACUGGGCGUAAAGCGUGCGCAGGUGGUUUUGUAAGUCAGAUGUGAAAGCCCCGGGCUCAACCUGGGAACU
Molecule: ribosomal RNA, 423 nt
Filed under: uncultured bacterium
Lineage: Bacteria
Description: bacterial SSU rRNA
Rfam family: Bacterial small subunit ribosomal RNA
Source: RNAcentral